CCAGCUUUUAGUUUAUGCCUGCAGGGGAUGGUGGGAAGUAAGGUAUCAUAUUGCUGAUUAUGCUGAAAAAUUUCAAUAAAAACUACCAAAACAACCGAAAUAUUUCAAUAUUUACAAGUAUAAGCUAUCACUCCGUGUUUACACGGCCACCAUUUUUAUUUUUUCAGCAUAAUCAGCAAUGUGAUACCUUACUUCCCAUCGUCCC
Non-coding RNA from Paramuricea clavata, 205 nucleotides. The record is from the annotation of a GenBank genome assembly. NCBI's taxonomy places the organism in Eukaryota, Metazoa, Cnidaria, Anthozoa, Malacalcyonacea, Plexauridae.